UGGGGAAUAUUGCACAAUGGGCGAAAGCCUGAUGCAGCAACGCCGCGUGAGUGAUGAAGGCCUUCGGGUUGUAAAGCUCUGUCUUUUGGGACGAUAAUGACGGUACCAAAGGAGGAAGCCACGGCUAACUACGUGCCAGCAGCCGCGGUAAUACGCAGGUGGCAAGCGUUGUCCGGAUUUACUGGGCGUAAAGGAUGCGUAGGCGGAUUUUUAAGUGAGAUGUGAAAACCCUAAGCUUAACUCGGGGGACUGCAUUUCAUACUGGAAAUCUAGAGUGCGGGAGAGGAGAAUGGAAUUCCUAGUGUAGCGGUGAAAUGCGUAGAGAUUAGGAAGAACACCAGUGGCGAAGGCGAUUCUCUGGACCGUAACUGACGCUGAGGCAUGAAAGCGUGGGUAGCAAACGGGAUUAGAUACCCCUGGUAGUCCACGCCGUAAACGAUGAGUACUAGGUGUAGGAGGUAUCGACCCCUUCUGUGCCGCAGUUAAACACAAUAAGUACUCCGCCUGGGAAGUACGAUCGCAAGAUUAAAACUCAAAGGAAUUGACGGGGGUCAUAGCUGUUUUUCCCU
Molecule: ribosomal RNA, 569 nt
Filed under: uncultured bacterium
Lineage: Bacteria
Description: partial 16S ribosomal RNA
Rfam family: Bacterial small subunit ribosomal RNA
Source: RNAcentral